Oncorhynchus tshawytscha (Chinook salmon) is the source of this 1406-nucleotide long non-coding RNA. NCBI's taxonomy places the organism in Eukaryota, Metazoa, Chordata, Actinopteri, Salmoniformes, Salmonidae. The record is from Ensembl.
GGGGUAGACAGGGAUAGACAGGGGAUAGACAGGGGUAGACAGGGGAUAGACAGGGGUAGACAGGGGAUAUACAGGGCAUAGACAGGGGUAGACAGGGGAUAAACAGGGAAUAGACAGGGGGUAGACAGGUUAUAGACAGGGGUAGACAGGGAUAGACAGGGGUAGACAGGGAUAGACAGGGAUAGACAGGGGGUAGACAGGGAUAGACAGGGGUAGACAGGGAUGGACUUGGAUAGACAGGGAUAGAGAAGGGAUAGACAGGGGUAGACAGGGGAUAGACAGCGGUAGACAGGGGACAGACAGGAGAUAGACAGGGGACGAAAUGGAUAGACUCUGAUAGACAGGGGUACAUAGGGAUAGACAGGGGUAACCAGGGAAUAGACAGGGGAUAGAAAGGGGUAGACUUGGAUAGACAGGGGAUAGAGAAGGGAUAGACAGCGGUAGACAGGGAUAGACAGGGGUAGACAGGGGAUAGACAGUGGAUAGACAGGGGUAGAGAAGGGAUAGACAGGGAAUAGACAGGGGAUAGACAGGGGUAGACAGGGGAUAGACAGGGGUAGACAACGGAUAGACUUGGAUAGACAGGGGAAGAAAUGGAUAGACUUGGAUAGACAGGGAUAGAGAAGGGAUAGACAGGGGUAGACAGGGAUAGACAGGGGAUAAACAGGGAAUAGACAGGGAAUAGACAGGAGAUAGACAGGGGAAGAAAUGGAUAGACUCUGAUAGACAGGGGUAAAUAGGUGAUAAACAGGGAUAGGCAGGGGAUAGACAGGGGUAGACAGGGGAUAGACAGGGGUAGACAGGGGAUAGACAGGGGAUAGACAGCAUUAUAGACAGGGGAUAGACAUGGGUAGACAGGGGAUAGACAGGGGUAGACAGGGAUAGACAGGGGAUAGACAGGGGUAGACAGGGGAUAUACAGGGGAUAGACAGGGGUAGGCAGGGGAUAGACAGGGAUAGACAGGGGUAGACAGGUGAGAGACAGGGGUAGACAGGGGAUAGACAGGGGACAGACAGAGGUAGAAACUGUUAGACACGGAUAGAUCGGAGAUAGACAGGAGAUAGACAGGGGAUAGACAGUGUUAUAGACAGGGGAUAGAAAGGUUUAUAGACAGGGGAUGGACAGGUUUAUAGACAGGGGAUAGACAGGGGAUAGACAGGGGAUAGACAAGGUUAUAGACAAGGGAUAGACAGGGUUAUAGACAGGGUUAUAAACAGGGUUAUAGACAGGGUUAUAGACAGGGUUAUAGACAGGGAUAGACAGGGUUAUAGACAGGGGAUAGACAGGGUUAUAGACAGGGUUAUAGACAGGGUUAUAGACAGGGAUAUAGACAGGGUUAUAGACAGGGUUAUAGACAGGGUUAUAGACAGGGGAUAGACAGGGUUAUAGACAGGGGAUAGACAGGG